ACACGCAUGACACACUGCAUAUCAAUAAGCGGAGGAAAAGAAACUAACAAGGAUUCCCUUAGUAACGGCGAGUGAAGCGGGAAGAGCUCAAAUUUGAAAUCUUCAAGGUUCUACCUUGACGAAUUGUAGUUUAUAAGAAGUGUUUUCUGUUAGUAGAGUUGGCUAAAAGUUCUUUGGAAUAGGACAUCAUAGAGGGUGAGAAUCCCGUAUUUGAUCAUUCUUUCUAGCUGUGUGAUACACUUUCAACGAGUCGGAUUGUUUGGGAAUGCAGUCCAAAAUGGGUGGUAAAUUUCAUCUAAAGCUAAAUAUUGGCGAGAGACCGAUAGCGAACAAGUACCGUGAGGGAAAGAUGAAAAGAACUUUGAAAAGAGAGUUAAACAGUACGUGAAAUUGUCAAAAGGGAAGCGUUUGACACCAGUGUUGUUUUUCCGAAAAUCAAUUACGAAUGUUUUGUUUUUGAGAAGUUAUGACUUCAUCGGCUUGCUUCUUUCUUUACGAAACUUUCUUAAUGCACUUUUCGGUUAACAAGUCAACAUCAAUUUCUUUUGUUGUAAAAGGGUAUGAGGAAGGUGGCUUUCUUUUCGGAGAAAGUGUUUAUAGCCUUGUGCCUCUGCAAUCGGAGAGAUUGAGGUCUGCAGCGUAGAUCCUUCGGGGUUAGAUACGUUUGUGCUAAGUUAUAGCUUUUCAUAGACAACUUGUUGACUAUGUUUAGUCUUGUAGCUUACUCGCUGACGCUAUUUUACCUACGCUUAGGAUGUUGAAGACUCUACAGAGAUA
RNAcentral lists this ribosomal RNA (777 nucleotides) under uncultured Neocallimastigales. Its description in RNAcentral is "partial large subunit ribosomal RNA". It matches the Rfam family "Eukaryotic large subunit ribosomal RNA", at positions 23 to 632 of the family's 3401-position model. Lineage: Eukaryota; Fungi; Neocallimastigomycota; Neocallimastigomycetes; Neocallimastigales. The record is from RNAcentral.